Molecule: non-coding RNA, 3743 nt
Organism: Dermacentor albipictus
Lineage: Eukaryota; Metazoa; Arthropoda; Arachnida; Ixodida; Ixodidae
Source: RefSeq, a predicted model, not a curated record
UUCAUCCGACCAAACACCAGAGAAAAGAGUGAUGCUGAUACAGACACACAAGUUUUUUUGGCAGUGGAAUAUGUUAACUGGACAAACUGCUGCAAGCGUUGCAUAGCAACAUGCAUUGAAGCUGCUUUGUCAUGCGACUCUCACGCUACCUGCGUUGGAACCAGAUGGCUCACAUGAAAAGAUUCAGGUGUCUCAGCAGCAGCACACCCACCCGUUGUUGGUCACCUCCAUUUGAAAUUCAAAAGGAAGUUUCACACGAGUGUUCAUUUCGAAUCACCGAUAGCAAUACCUCACCUUGGCAUAGCCAACUACCUGUAAAAUACUUCACAUAACAUCAAUUUUCACAUUGCGUGGGAUUUACGCAAGUUUAUCUCAUAGUUUUCAUGUAGAGCCUUUUGGACCUUUAUGUGGGGGAUAAUAAAAUGGCUUUUCAAGUCUAGCUCCUCUGAAAUAUAUAUAAUUCGACACCUUGCAUGCUAAGCUGCAGCUUCUUAAGUCCCAAACUGGCAUCAAGAAAGCCAGGACUGUAAAAUGAUACUGGGCUGGACAAAUCAGUUUCCAAAGAUUUAUGUUACGUUCUUGACCUCCUUUCCAGAGUUCCUGUGAUAAGUUUGUGUGAAAAGACAUUCUCAAAGCUAACAUAUGUAGAGACCAGGCUGAGAAGCUUUAUGUCAAGAAUGGCUUAGCUGGCUGAUGGUGCCUUUGGUGGAGCAAUGAAUUGCAAUUUUUUUUAUGAUGUUAUGAAGAUAAAUAACACCAUAGCAUGCAGACUUAUGCUGCAGAAAGAAAGCAAGAAGCGAAUGAGUAAUUGCAAAGUGAUCUGCAUAUUGUAUCCCAGCUGUAUUGUGCAUGCCACAUUACCAGAGAAUCCUGCUGACCUUUAAUUAACCUUUCCAGCACAACAUGUCUUUAUCAAGCCAUACCUUUACAUUGGGUUGAUAUAUGCAGGGAUGCCCUUUCACCUUCAUGUAAGCUUAGCUCUGUCAACAGCAGAUGCACUAAAGCUGAACACUCUUGCUACCUACUUCACAUACUGCAACUGAAAUGAAGGAAACACAAGUCUUAACAGUAAACUUUUAAACAGUGCAUUUAAAUACUUGUGCAACCUUCUUUUUGGAAAGACCAUGUGGUGCCUAGAGAUGUAGCUUGACAAGUAAGAAACUGAUGUGCUUUUAUCUAAAAAUAGAAUUGAUUGAUGUUUUGUGGGACAGGGUGCCUGGUGUCUCAAUGAGCACACUUUAUGGCUGAGAAUAUUUUUGCCAUUGUGUCAGCUUUGAAAACUUGUCAGAAUCUUUAAUCUUGGUGCAUUAGAAAACACCUUGACACAAAAUGAAUGUAACCCUUGAUGUCAUUGAAAGAACAGUGCUGAAAACAAUUCGAUAAAUACAGCAGAAUGAAAUGCAGAGAACUUAGGUGGGAAAUAGGUAAGCAAUUUACCAACCACAUUAUCAAUGCAAGCAGCUGACACUUAAUAAAAUAAGAAAGCCCUGGAGCAAGUCUCUGGCUUGCAGUGCAAGACCUGUGCACACUUAUGAUGAUAUUGCAGUAUUCAUGGCAGGGACGGGACCAUUCAACCUUACGCACUGUAACACUCUGUAUAUCUCUCUGAAAUCUUCUUGUACCAACAUGUACAAACUGCAUGUUGCAAACAGCAAAAUCAUUGCUAUUGUCCUACAGACAGUUUCCAUGUUUAUUGGAUUCUCAUUUUAACAGCUGACUUUAAGCUUCCAUACUGAGAGCUGGACGAGUUAGUGCGUUUUUGAAAGAGUAGAAACAGUGCACAAAGUAUGAAGGACAGUGAAAACGCAACAGGAGCACUGACUUGCAACUGAAUUUUUUAUUCAGGUAUACAUACAAGAAUAAUAUGCACACACCAUGCAAUGUGAAAAAAAGCAAGCAAAUGAAGUGCAAACUAUUAAUCAUGAUUGACAUUGCUAGAAAACACAAGCAUGAGUGACGUCGUGAGUUAACUGCGACAUCAUACUAAAUCCAUGCAAAAAACCAUGUUAGAACUUACAUGGGCAUUAUGCGAUUCAAUGAAUUCAACAGUAUGCUUAUAACCUAUGUAUUCUAACAUUUUACUUGAAUAAGGUGCUAAGAAGAUCAAUCUAUAUAUAGCUACAAAUGCCUUAGUCACCAGAUUUGAAAAGCGGGAGGACUUUCGUUUGUUUCAGAGAUGAAAGAAUACCUGUUGUGGGAGAAUGCUGAGAAAUAACAGCGAUACUGAGGAGUCCAUUGGGAAUAAUAUAAUGUACCAACAUGCAUUAGGAAUUACGUCAGGAUCUCCAAAUUUAUUAAAUUUGCAGACAUACUUCUAUAUUUUAACAAUAUUAUUAAGGCAUACAAAUUUUAAAAAGAAAUGCCACUACGUUAGUAUUUGCCAUAGCAAAUGAUUUCCUAGGGGUGCAUGUACAAUGGCACCCAAUUGAAUAUUGUACAACUAAAGCUCUACCACAUGUGUUUGACCCCUGUUGAUUGCAAGUCGCACAAGCCUGUUCCCUUAGUGAGUGAAACUCAGUGAAAGAAACUUGGCCUUCUUUGUGGAGCAAAGACAGUUGGCAAAAAUGAAGCACACAAAGGUAGAGAGGUUUUGGUAUAGCCUGCACAGUGAAAGAUCCACUCAAGAUCCAGGUGCUGUACCGUAUCUUCAGAAGAUAAAGCAUUCAUCUAAACACAAGCACAGGGUGUAAAUGAUCGCACUCCGAUGCAUGUGAUACAUAAUGACAAUCACCACGAAAGCCUAUCGCAUUACUAUUACUUCCACAGGUAAUUUUCAUGGCUGCUAUGGAAUGGCUGUCUCGCUGCACCACAAUCUAUAGCAACUAAUACACUGGGCAUUUCAAAUGGUUCAUGAAAGCGGGUUGGGCCCUGGCCAGACUGAAGCAGCGGCACUCGAGAGACACUUUUCAACGCCCAGCCUCGUGUGAGUCACUUGACACUCGUCACGGACACUUGCUGACAUUGCCUUCAGGCGGGAACAGGCCUUUCUGUUAGAUUCACGUUUCACGUCCAGGCUUUCGUUACUAGGCUUCUGCGUGCGUAAGGCGACGCGAAAUGUUUGAACGCACUUUGCUCAUCGACAAAAGGCGCCCUUACUUUGCACAGCGAUUUGGAAAUGUGUAUGCACCCUACAUCGACGUCAAUGCCGACGCGCACCACUUCUGCGUUUUCGAGCUCGAGAGCAGUGUGUCGACGUGGUGUCCAAGGCCAAAUAGGCAUCCGACUUUGCCAGAAGGCGUACACACAACUUAAAGAAUCGCUACAUACGACACACCCUGCAAUAUGCAUGAUCCGUGUCGGCACCAUAUGCAGUCGGCGCUGUGCUACCACGACUCUUCGAAACCGACAGUCCAAAUGAGGCGACAUGUCGUGCUGUUUCGUGGAUGCAGCACAGUUCGUUCGAAGCUUCUGUAGCUUCGUAACGGCAGCGUUAUUCGUACUCGCCGAUAUUACACAGUGACCCAAUAUGCAGUCGGCGCUGUGCUACCACGACUCUUCGAAACCGACAGUCCAAAUGAUGCGACAUGUCGUGCUGUUUCGUGGAUGCAGCACAGUUCGUUCGAAGCUUCUGUAGCUUCGUAACGGCAACGUUAUUCGUACUCGCCGAUAUUACACAGUGAUUUGUACACACCACACAGCCACAAGGAAUCGCAACGGUCCUCCCACUGCGUGCACGCGUGUAGGCGCCGACAGUCAUUUUCGAUUUUAAAACGCUGCACAAAAUAAAUGCUUUAUUUAUUUAG